ACGUAGGUCCCGAGCGUUGUCCGGAUUUAUUGGGCGUAAAGCGAGCGCAGGCGGUUUGAUAAGUCUGAAGUAAAAGGCUGUGGCUUAACCAUAGUAUGCUUUGGAAACUGUCAAACUUGAGUGCAGAAGGGGAGAGUGGAAUUCCAUGUGUAGCGGUGAAAUGCGUAGAUAUAUGGAGGAACACCGGUGGCGAAAGCGGCUCUCUGGUCUGUAACUGACGCUGAGGCUCGAAAGCGUGGGGAGCAAACAGGAUUAGAUACCCUGGUAGUCCACGCCGUAAACGAUGAGUGCUAGGUGUUGGGUCCUUUCCGGGACUCAGUGCCGCAGCUAACGCAUUAAGCACUCCGCCUGGGGAGUACGACCGCAAGGUUG
RNAcentral lists this ribosomal RNA (372 nucleotides) under uncultured bacterium. RNAcentral's name for it is "bacterial SSU rRNA". It matches the Rfam family "Bacterial small subunit ribosomal RNA", at positions 525 to 896 of the family's 1533-position model. The record is from RNAcentral.